GUGUGCUGGGGGGAGAACACAGUUCGACACAGAUGGAGGCAGGAAAUGGAGGAGCUGGGGUUUCCUGCUGCCACCUAGGCCUGGAGCUGUCACAGGAGCAGGGAGGCCUCGGAGGAGCCAGAUCCCGAAGCUGCCGCAGAGAAAAUCUGACACGGGAGGUGCUGGAAGCAGCCCAGCCCGUCCCUCCUCUUACCGCCCUCACCUCCCCUGUGGAUGCAAAGUUCCAAAGUUCCACUGCGUUUUUAAAGGUGCCAUUACUUAAGCUCCAGCCUCUGUUGCCGUGAAUCCUCUGCCUAAGCUGUCUUGAAACUGCCUCCUUCUCAGCCUCCUCCAGGAAGCCUUCCUUGGAGAAGCCGACACAGAUUCCAAGCCAGCCUUCCUUGUUCUCACCAAAACAAUUUACUCAUGGACUUGGCCAUCUGUCCGUGCCUGUGCUCCGCCGUACGGGGAGAUUCCCGAGGGUAGGGUAGUGUCUCUGUCAUCACCCUGGGGGGUCUCCGUGCAUGGGAACUGCCUCUCCCAUCAGGCCAGGACCGCCCCAAAGAUGGGGACUGGGCCUCCUUCCAGUUCUGCCUCUUGGACCAAGAUCAAGAAGCCCAACUGAUGAAGCCCCGAGAGAAGGUGGGGAGCCGAGGACCACACUCCGGCACCCGGCUCAGCCCUUCCCUGAUGCCGCGUGGGGGCCAGGUGUCGUUCCAGUCUUGGCUCUGAAUGUGACUUUGGAAACCUCUUGCUUUCUGGGCUCCAGGUGAUUCCUCUGUAAUGGGAGGCCCUGGGGCACCUCCCUGCCCUUCACUUUGCCACACAGCUCGAGCGACGUUCGGUUUGCCCGUCGUUCCCUGGGCUGUGGCCCACCCGCCCAGCCCCACUGUAAGCUUGUCAGUUGACCCGGCUGCCAGCAGCGCUACCCCCAGCCCUGUGGCGGGACGAGUGGGUGAGCGGGCCGCACGCCCCGGGUUAUUGCAUGGAGUAGGCUGACAAAGGCCAUCGGAAGAUGUAUCGUUUAAUAGGAGAUUAAAAACCAACAAGA
Non-coding RNA from Microcebus murinus (gray mouse lemur), 1030 nucleotides. Lineage: Eukaryota; Metazoa; Chordata; Mammalia; Primates; Cheirogaleidae. The record is from RefSeq and is a predicted model, not a curated record.